GUUUUUCUUUCUCUGCACGUGAACAGCACUUUUGAUGAUUUCUUGGCCCAAGCUGAUAGUUUGGGUACCAUUUUUGCUGCUCUUAAUGAUGAGGACUUUGAUGUUCGAGAGCUUGCAAUAUCAGUGGCUGGCAGAUUAUCUGAAAGGAACCCAGCAUAUGUUCUUCCGGCACUUCGUCGUCACCUUAUAAAACUUCUGACCCACCUUGAGCAUAG
This 215-nucleotide unclassified non-coding RNA is filed under the name Hevea brasiliensis (rubber tree). The record is from RNAcentral. Lineage: Eukaryota; Viridiplantae; Streptophyta; Magnoliopsida; Malpighiales; Euphorbiaceae.